Molecule: ribosomal RNA, 577 nt
Filed under: uncultured bacterium
Lineage: Bacteria
Description: bacterial SSU rRNA
Rfam family: Bacterial small subunit ribosomal RNA
Source: RNAcentral
AGACUUUGAUUCUGGCUCAGGACGAACGCUGGCGGCGCGCCUAACACAUGCAAGUCGAGCGUGAAGCUGUUAAAGGAUCCUUCGGGAGAAUUUAAUAGUGGAAAGCGGCGGACGGGUGAGUAACGCGUGGGAAACCUGCCCUAUACAGGGGGAUAGCCUCGGGAAACCGGGAUUAAUACCCCAUAAAACCUUAACACCGCAUGGUGAAUAGGUCAAAACUUAGGUGGUAUAGGGUGGUCCCGCGUCCCAUUAGCUAGUUGGUGAGGUAACAGCUCACCAAGGCAACGAUGGGUAGCCGGCCUGAGAGGGUGAACGGCCACACUGGAACUGAGACACGGUCCAGACUCCUACGGGAGGCAGCAGUGGGGAAUAUUGCACAAUGGGGGAAACCCUGAUGCANCGACGCCGCGUGAGCGAUGAAGGCUUUCGAGUCGUAAAGCUCUGUCCUAAGGGAAGAUAAUGACGGUACCUUAGGAGGAAGCCCCGGCUAACUACGUGCCAGCAGCCGCGGUAAUACGUAGGGGGCGAGCGUUUGUCCGGAAUUACUGGGCGUAAAGAGUUUCGUAGGCGGCCCUGC